Molecule: ribosomal RNA, 1296 nt
Filed under: uncultured bacterium
Lineage: Bacteria
Description: bacterial SSU rRNA
Rfam family: Bacterial small subunit ribosomal RNA
Source: RNAcentral
AGCGGCGGACGGGUGAGUAAUGUCUGGGAAACUGCCUGAUGGAGGGGGAUAACUACUGGAAACGGUAGCUAAUACCGCAUAACGUCUUCGGACCAAAGAGGGGGACCUUCGGGCCUCUUGCCAUCAGAUGUGCCCAGAUGGGAUUAGCUAGUAGGUGAGGUAAUGGCUCACCUAGGCGACGAUCCCUAGCUGGUCUGAGAGGAUGACCAGCCACACUGGAACUGAGACACGGUCCAGACUCCUACGGGAGGCAGCAGUGGGGAAUAUUGCACAAUGGGCGCAAGCCUGAUGCAGCCAUGCCGCGUGUAUGAAGAAGGCCUUCGGGUUGUAAAGUACUUUCAGCGAGGAGGAAGGCAUUGUGGUUAAUAACCGCAGUGAUUGACGUUACUCGCAGAAGAAGCACCGGCUAACUCCGUGCCAGCAGCCGCGGUAAUACGGAGGGUGCAAGCGUUAAUCGGAAUUACUGGGCGUAAAGCGCACGCAGGCGGUCUGUCAAGUCGGAUGUGAAAUCCCCGGGCUCAACCUGGGAACUGCAUUCGAAACUGGCAGGCUAGAGUCUUGUAGAGGGGGGGUAGAAUUCCAGGUGUAGCGGUGAAAUGCGUAGAGAUCUGGAAGGAAUACCGGUGGCGAAGGCGGCCCCCUGGACAAAGACUGACGCUCAGGUGCGAAAGCGUGGGGAGCAAACAGGAUUAGAUACCCGUGGUAGUCCACGCCGUAAACGAUGUCGACUUGGAGGUUGUUCCCUUGAGGAGUGGCUUCCGGAGCUAACGCGUUAAGUCGACCGCCUGGGGAGUACGGCCGCAAGGUUAAAACUCAAAUGAAUUGACGGGGGCCCGCACAAGCGGUGGAGCAUGUGGUUUAAUUCGAUGCAACGCGAAGAACCUUACCUACUCUUGACAUCCAGAGAAUUUGCUAGAGAUAGCUUAGUGCCUUCGGGAACUCUGAGACAGGUGCUGCAUGGCUGUCGUCAGCUCGUGUUGUGAAAUGUUGGGUUAAGUCCCGCAACGAGCGCAACCCUUAUCCUUUGUUGCCAGCGGUUCGGCCGGGAACUCAAAGGAGACUGCCAGUGAUAAACUGGAGGAAGGUGGGGAUGACGUCAAGUCAUCAUGGCCCUUACGAGUAGGGCUACACACGUGCUACAAUGGCGCAUACAAAGAGAAGCGACCUCGCGAGAGCAAGCGGACCUCAUAAAGUGCGUCGUAGUCCGGAUCGGAGUCUGCAACUCGACUCCGUGAAGUCGGAAUCGCUAGUAAUCGUAGAUCAGAAUGCUACGGUGAAUACGUUCCCGGGCCUUGU